This 2415-nucleotide long non-coding RNA is filed under the name Struthio camelus australis. Its description in RNAcentral is "lncRNA (ENSSCUG00000008677.1)". The record is from RNAcentral. Lineage: Eukaryota; Metazoa; Chordata; Aves; Struthioniformes; Struthionidae.
AUUUGCAGGGAGUGAGGGAAGGGGUCCCGCAGCGACUGUCCCCACCCCGUCCGCCNNNNNNNNNNNNNNNNNNNNNNNNNNNNNNNNNNNNNNNNNNNNNNNNNNNNNNGGGCGGUCGGGGCGGCCGUGGCAAUGCAGCGCACAGCUGGGGAGGCGUCAGUCGGGGAUGCCCGGAGAGGUGGCUGUGCUGUGUCGAUGCAGUCGUCUCGGAGCAGAGCCGUGUUGUCGCAGGGGAGAGUUACCCUGAAUGCUGGCACUGCGUAUGAACACUGUAGUCAGACUGUGCUGUCUGACUGUUGCAGCACUGUUGGGGUGUGGAAACCCCAUCUGGUGGCACUAGGAGAUACAGCCAGCUCAUGUGACCUCUUUGUGGUACAGGGACACAGUACAGGAGACUGCAGCCUCCACGGAGGUGCAGGGGUUGAAAUGGCUCUUGUGCACAGAAGUGACAAAAUCUGCAGCUUCUCCGUCUCGUCGGAGGCCUCGUUCUCUGAGGAUCUGCGUCCGCUGGGAUGAGACAGUUAAUUGUCGAUGCUUACGAGUGUAUCGAUAAACUCCGAAGUUUAUUCCCAAGCUUUGAAAAGUGAUGAAGGGGGUGAUUUUUGCCAGAGCCUCAGCAGAUUGCAACGGAAGGGAAGCUGGGGAAGGAGGGAGGAGCAAAGCAGAGACCACGCGAGUCACGGUCCACACAGACUGACUCGCACAUGGUCUGAGGUCUGCGUUUUGCUCUCUUGCGUUUGAAAAUAAUGCCUCUACUCCUAUCAUCUCCUUUACUUUUCCAUUUCAGGUGAAGUGAUGCUCUUCAUGUGUCACUAACAGUGUUCCUUGGAGUACAAAACUAAUACCUAAUUGGCGGCUGCCUCCGUAAAGGGCUGUUUACAGCUAAGUAAUAUUAGUGUCAAUGACAACUGUAACCUGUUCAUUUGUUUCCCACUCUUCCCAGGAGUACUGCGAACAAGAUGGCUGCAACUGGACUGUACAAAAUGGGUGACGGAAGCAGCUAUGCAACUAACUGCUUCCCUGCCAGGAACAUUUUGCGCACAAACAAAGAAGGGGCUGGGUGCUGGCUGCUGGCACGCAGAACUACCAGGAGGGCCCGGAUCGAGCAGGGAAUCCCUGGAGAGAAGCAUCAGAAGAGGAGAAAGCCCCAAAGUUCGGCCUCUGCAGAAGAAGACAAUAUCCUAGAUGAGCCAUUUCUGGUGAGCGUAGAUUCCCUGUUAUUGUCUAAACCAAGUGACAACGCGUCCUGGCCUUGUGGGGGACCUUGUUGGUGGACAGACGCUGUAGCUGCCUCUCCUCCCCAUCUCCAUGCCAUGCCAUCUCCACAUUCAUGGGCGCUCCAGGCGCUCACCCUCUCCCCCUCACUGUGGUUCAAGGCACCAGGUGCCCCACACAGGUGGGGUGUCCUGCCGUGAAGGAGAGGACAGCUGAGAUCUGGUUUGGGGGUUCAGGUCCUAGGACACGGCAUACAGGAUUGCUUACAUAGGUGGUGCAGGGCUAAGCUUUUGCUUUUUCAUUUUUCCAGAUGAAGCAUCACUGUUUGAAGAACCCUUCUGACUUGUGCUCUGUGAAUAUAAGCAACCAAAAUCUGGUCUCUGUGAGUAUCAGAGACUCAGGAAGUAUUAGGGAACUACCUUAAAUAUUGAAAAAUUUAGCACAUGAGUGUCCAGACAUCAGACAAAACACAUAUUAGAACCCAGGCAUAUUUCCUGCACAAGAAAGCUAACCAGCCAGCCAUGAACAGGCCUGGAUGAUUUGUCCUAUAAACCUUUGGAUCAUGUCUUUGUAACAGAAUUAACUUGGUCUUCAUCAGGUGUAGCCCUUUCCCCAUUUACACUGACUCACAAAAUCCUUUCCUCUGGGUUCAUGGGUGGUGUUUACUUAAGCUGACAGGCCAUGGUGGGAAUUAAACGUCAGCUCAAGAAGUGACUUGUAUUUGAGCUGGCGACUAACCUGCAGUGCAAAGAGAAAAUGAGCUGAACUGCUGAUAAUUAUUUUAGUGUCUUUUUAGGGUUCUCUUCCGGUGCUGCGAAAGACAGAUGUGUUAAAUCAUAGAGUGGCAAGGUUUGUUGGGUCACAAGUGAGCAUGAGAUACACCCUAGGAGUCCUGCAAGGCAUACAGGGGAGCGAGGUCAGCAGUGACAGCACAGACAGGGCUUCGAUUUGGGGCUGAACUAAGCCAGGUCUUUUGAAUGUCAGUCACUGAAUUAACUCUGCGUUAGAGGCGUACUCACAGAGAGCUGUGCUCCAUAGUCAGAAAAACAAAGGAAGACCUAAUUAUGAGAAAUGCUGUGAUUUAAGGAUUGUGGAAAAAAUAAGAAAGAAGAGAUCCAGUUGCUUCAAACUAGUUUAGGGCUGGAGCUGACUGAUUUUUUUCCUAUACUUUUUUUAGGCUAAAGAAGAUGAUUUUGAGAA